GGAAAUAUGAGUGGUUCAGACGUGACCCAAACACUGAAGUUCAAAUCAGAACAGAUGAUCAACAAAACAGAGUAAUCAGAGUAUCUGAAGGAGGAAUCAACCACUGCAGAGGAAGAAGAGGAAACCCAGAUUACUACACUGAUAAAAGUGAUGAUGUCACCACUGAGAUAACCUUUUCCAAUAAGGUUGUUGUAAAAGGACGACCCAGCUGGCCUCAGAUAUUCAGCGGUGAGACGAUCAGUCUGACAUGUGAGGUGCAGGAAGGAGGUGAAACCACUGAGUGGGAGUAUAGAUGGAGAGGACCCAACCAAACCACACAGUGGACUCACAAUAAUUACUGGAUAUUCAAUGUUUCUGAGUCCAGCAGUGGAGACUACAUGUGUAAGAGUCGACGCAGAGAUGACUCAUAUUCUUCAACAGAGUGGAGUGAAGCCUUCAACUUGUCAGCAUCAACUGUGCUCAGUUCUGAGAGCUCUUCAUUUCUAAUGAUCGCUGGACUAAUUUCUGGAAUCACAUUUAUUUUCCUCCUGCUCUUGCUGUGUUGCUGCAUGAAGUCCAAAGGUGAGACUUUUUGUUCCUCUGAUCUCAGAAAUUUUACUCUUUAAUUAUUUAUGUACACAAACGCAGCAUGCAGGCCUGAAGCUGAAACUGUUGUAUAAAAUGUAUAAAACAUAACCAUGUAAAAGCAAAUGUCUUCUUUUAAGUGUUUAAUAAAGGUUCAGCUGAUGACCAGAGGGUGAGUCAGGAUGAAGAUCAGCAGCAGGUGUACUCCUCUCUUCUUCAUGGUUAGCUUUUCAUGUAGUUUAAAAGAUUCUGAUGCUCUUUGCAACAAGACUGUGCUGCAGUUUUAACACUGGUGAAUUAAACAAAGUUAUGACAAUAACAGCAUUUAAUGUAAAUGUUACUGGUGAGAAUACUUAAUAAUAUUAACAAUGAUAAGUAGAAUAAUUUUCUUUGACCUGCAGGUGAUCGUUGUGUCUAUGAGACAAUCAGAGGCUCUAAAAACACUGAGACUGGUCAAAUAGAAGGUGAUUCAUGUGUGAUUCAGCUCAAAGUGAUUAACAAGACACGUGAGUAUCCAACAUAAAAUAUAUUACAUUUGCAAAACUGUUUGUUUUUUAAAUGCUUUCAUUUCAUCACCUCCACAGAGCCCCGUGGUGACCCAGAGGAGAGCUCUGACUAUUAUAAUGUCAAUCCAAAUUCAACCCCAGGUCCAUAAAGAGCAGCUCACCAUCAACAGAAUGAGGAAAGUGACUGAUGACAACAGCUUCUGUUGAGGAGACAAUAUGACAGGUUUUACAUCACAUUAUAGCCAAACGUCUAAAAUAUUUUUAAAAUUGUUUUCUGUUGAUAUAUUUUCUGUUUAAUUUUUCUCUUUGAUUUCCUCCCUGACACUGUGGUAUCAGUUUGUUAGAAAUAAUAUUAAAUGGUAUAAUGUACACUUAGUUUAGCAGAAAUGUGUAUUACCAUUUAGUAUCCAUGUUAUCUGGGAGCAUUUAUAGCUUUUAUAGAAAAUAUAUAAAAUGCAGCUACAAGACAUUUGAAACACUUGAUGUUUAGCAGCUAAUAAUCUGAUUUUAAAUUCAGCUUUUGCUGUGUCACAUGCAGGUAACAGUGAAUAUUAUUGCUGUAUGUGAUCUCCUACAUUAUGUCAGACUUAAUGAUGCAACACAUGCUGUAUGGAUUUGAAUGUAUCAGUGAAUGUAUUUUGUAUGUGUGUGUUUUCUCUGGAGUUUUUUAUUUCUAGCUAUGAGCUGUAUUUCUGUUGUAUCCUACAUCAUGUUUGUAAAAUAAAACUCAG
Oreochromis aureus is the source of this 1801-nucleotide long non-coding RNA. Lineage: Eukaryota; Metazoa; Chordata; Actinopteri; Cichliformes; Cichlidae. The record is from Ensembl.